Molecule: ribosomal RNA, 465 nt
Filed under: uncultured bacterium
Lineage: Bacteria
Description: partial 16S ribosomal RNA
Rfam family: Bacterial small subunit ribosomal RNA
Source: RNAcentral
GAUGAACGCUGGCGGCGUGCUUAACACAUGCAAGUCGAACGGAAAGGCUCCUGCUUGCAGGGGUACUCGAGUGGCGAACGGGUGAGUAACACGUGGGUGAUCUGCCCUGCACUUCGGGAUAAGCCUGGGAAACUGGGUCUAAUACCGGAUAGGACGAUGGUUUGGAUGCCAUUGUGGAAAGUUUUUCGGUGUGGGAUGAGCUCGCGGCCUAUCAGCUUGUUGGUGGGGUAAUGGCCUACCAAGGCGUCGACGGGUAGCCGGCCUGAGAGGGUGGACGGCCACAUUGGGACUGAGAUACGGCCCAGACUCCUACGGGAGGCAGCAGUGGGGAAUAUUGCACAAUGGGCGCAAGCCUGAUGCAGCGACGCCGCGUGGGGGAUGACGGCCUUCGGGUUGUAAACUCCUUUCGCUAGGGACGAAGCGCGAGUGACGGUACCUGGAGAAGAAGCACCGGCUAACUACGUG